Molecule: ribosomal RNA, 414 nt
Filed under: Rhizophagus sp. CSD-2020a
Lineage: Eukaryota; Fungi; Glomeromycota; Glomeromycetes; Glomerales; Glomeraceae
Description: partial large subunit ribosomal RNA
Source: RNAcentral
AAAGUCAAAUAGCACGUGAAAUUGUUGAAAGGGAAACGAUUGAAGUCAGUCGUACCGAUGGGCAUUCAGCCUCAUGAGUGCGAUUAUGUUGGGUGUUGGGGAGCUUAACCGUCCUCGCGCUUGCGUAUUUGUGCUCUACGGGUGUACUUGUCCGUAUGGUAGGUUAACAUCAAUUUCGGAAAUCAUAAAAUGGUUGGAGGAAUGUAGCUUUGGUCUCGUAUUGAAGUGUUAUAGCCUCUGGCAGAUGUGGUGAUCGGGAUUGAGGAUUGCAACGGAUACCCUUCGGGCUACCUGUCUGAUCUCUGAUCGUUACUCUGGUGCCGAAAGCUUGCUUACGGUCAUCAAAGUUGAUGGUCAAUAGGUUAGAACGGGUUAAAUUCGUUAAGGAUGUUGACGUAAUGGCUUUAAACGACC